Molecule: ribosomal RNA, 503 nt
Filed under: uncultured bacterium
Lineage: Bacteria
Description: partial 16S ribosomal RNA
Rfam family: Bacterial small subunit ribosomal RNA
Source: RNAcentral
GAUGAACGCUGGCGGCGUGCUUAACACAUGCAAGUCGAACGGUGAAGCGCUUUCCUUUUUGGUUGGUGUGGAGGAGUGGCGAACGGGUGAGUAACACGUGAGCAACCUGCCCACUUCUUCUGGAUAACCGCAUGAAAGUGCGGCUAAUACGGGAUAUUCUGCGCCUGCUGCAUGGUGGGUGUGGGAAAGAUUGUGCAUUUGGGUGUGUUCGGUCGUGGAUGGGCUCGCAGCCUAUCAGCUUGUUGGUGGGGUGAUGGCCUACCAAGGAGGUGACGGGUAGCCGGGCUGAGAGGGUGGACGGUCACACUGGGACUGAGACACGGCCCAGACUCCUACGGGAGGCAGGAGUGGGGACUAUUGCAGGAUGGGCGCAAGCCUGAUGCAGCGGCGCCGCGUGAGGGAUGGAGGCCUUCGGGUUGUGAGCCUAUUUCGCCAGUGAAGCAGGCCUGCUCCUUGUGUGUGGGUUGACGGUAGCUGGAUAAGAAGCGCCGGCUAACUACGUG